Molecule: ribosomal RNA, 267 nt
Filed under: uncultured Blautia sp.
Lineage: Bacteria; Bacillati; Bacillota; Clostridia; Lachnospirales; Lachnospiraceae
Description: partial 16S ribosomal RNA
Rfam family: Bacterial small subunit ribosomal RNA
Source: RNAcentral
ACGUAGGGGGCAAGCGUUAUCCGGAUUUACUGGGUGUAAAGGGAGCGUAGACGGAUGGACAAGUCUGAUGUGAAAGGCUGGGGCUCAACCCCGGGACUGCAUUGGAAACUGCCCGUCUUGAGUGCCGGAGAGGUAAGCGGAAUUCCUAGUGUAGCGGUGAAAUGCGUAGAUAUUAGGAGGAACACCAGUGGCGAAGGCGGCUUACUGGACGGUAACUGACGUUGAGGCUCGAAAGCGUGGGGAGCAAACAGGAUUAGAUACCCUGGU